GAAGUUCCAGGAUAUGGCUAUAACAACAAACUCAUCUUGGCAAUAUCUGUAACUGUAGUAGUGACGAUUUUGGUUACAAUUCUGUGUCUCAUUGAGGGGCUUUUUUCGAUUUCUGCUGCGUAAGAGAAGCUCAGGGCAAAGUGAGAGUCAGGAGAACCCUUUCGGGAGAAGGCGGCCACUUUGACAUAGGG
Long non-coding RNA from Aethalodelphis obliquidens (Pacific white-sided dolphin), 191 nucleotides. RefSeq lists it as uncharacterized. The record is from RefSeq and is a predicted model, not a curated record. The transcript is spliced from 3 exons. NCBI's taxonomy places the organism in Eukaryota, Metazoa, Chordata, Mammalia, Artiodactyla, Delphinidae.